AUUGAUUUGAUGAAACUAAUUUAGUAUUAUAAAUAUUACUAUAUUUGUCUAAAAACUUAAUUAAAUUUGAAACAGUUUAAUUUUGACCAAAAUCAAAACGUCUUAUAACCUGAAACGGAGGGAUUAGAUAGCUACCUGCCAGGUUCAUCGACCACUCGUGACAUGCAUGGAUGUGUCCAUGGCGCAUAUAUACAGUAUGUAGCAGCAAGGGCAGGCAUGAGCACAAGAGCAUGCAUGCGUUGAGAGGAUAAGCAGAUGGAGCCGGCAGUACGUAUAGCCGUCUCGCCACAUGGAUGGACGUGAUAUUCUCUGCUUGGCGAGCUCGCCAUUCGAGACAUUCUCGGCGCUGUUUGAUCACUUCAUACGCGCUCCGGGCCUAAAGAGCUCCAAGAGAUGCUGCAUGCUGUCUUGUUCACAAGAGUUUGUAUCACGAGAGCAUAGUAGAGCCCUCCAGCUCGUGCUCCCUAAAGAAAUGGCACGCAUGGCUUGUUCGCUUCUUCCUGGUUUGCAAUUGGUGUUCUUGUUGCAUAUGCUAACUGCUACCCCUCUUGAUUUGUCCCAAAAGAUAAGCCAGAAUAACGUGAAUGGCCAAUUGUCCUCCAGUCCAGUUCCUUGUCCUCGCCUCUCAUUGGCUCAUUUCCAUGGUUAUUGGAGCCAUGCAUGCAAGAAUUCUUUGGUUUUGUUUCUUGGUACACCUGCCAGCUCAUUGGAUUCCUGACUAUCCUUUACACCACCAAUUGGUAUAUGUGGGAAUAACAUUUGCUAAUUAAGGCAUGCUAAGGUUGUGUUAACUCUUUCAUUAUAAUAAUAUAUACUAGUAUGCUCAAUAUCAACUAUAAUACUACUAUACUCCAACUAGUAUUCUCAAGAUCAGCUGUUCCGCAUCAACUACUUUAUUCCUUUUUUAAUAGAUGAUACCGUAAAUUUUUGGCAUGAAGUUUAACCAUUCGUCUUAUUCAAAAUAUUUAUAUAAGUAUCAUUUAUUUUGUUUUGAAUUAUUUUAUCAUUAAAGAAAAUUGUAAACAUAACUUAUAUUCUUGCAUAAUUACACUAAAUUUUAAUAAGACGAAUGCUAAACGUUAUGCUAAAAGUUAAUAAUGUUAUCUAUAUUUAUAAACGGAAGUAGUACGCAGUUUUUUAGUACGGCCUCGACCAUAGAUCGAGUUAGUGUUUUCUUAGUAGUGGCAAGGUUCAGAGAAAUCAUAUAAUGAGAGGUAAAGGAAGUUAAUCAUGGUCACAUGUUUUCACAUUUUUCUGCACUUAACAGCUGAAUUUUCAGUUAUUCCCAACUUCUUAUCUCUUCUUAUAAUGUGAGAUAAGUACUCUCAUUGGUUUCACCAUCUACGCAGGCAGGGAAAGGGCAAACAUAUAUGAGCUUACUAUGGUCAUCAUAUCAGUAGUACAAUGAACGUACAGCUAGCUAGCAUAUCUUACACCUUGCCAAUCUCCAUAUAUGGAUUAUGGACUACCUCAUCAUCUCGGGUAGAUGUCAAUCAAGAGAAGAGUCACGGAAAAUUUGCAACUGAUCGAGCAAGAAGCUAGAUAGGGAAAUGAAAUUCAGCUAGCUGCAGUCCAUAAGCGCGAUAUGAUUGUCCUGAUCAAAA
Molecule: non-coding RNA, 1604 nt
Organism: Oryza sativa Japonica Group (Japanese rice)
Lineage: Eukaryota; Viridiplantae; Streptophyta; Magnoliopsida; Poales; Poaceae
Source: RefSeq, a predicted model, not a curated record